Molecule: ribosomal RNA, 458 nt
Filed under: uncultured bacterium
Lineage: Bacteria
Description: partial 16S ribosomal RNA
Rfam family: Bacterial small subunit ribosomal RNA
Source: RNAcentral
AGCGAACGCUGGCGGCAGGCCUAACACAUGCAAGUCGAACGAAAUCUUCGGAGUUAGUGGCGGAUGGGUGAGUCACACGUGGGAACGUGCCUUUUGGCUCGGAAUAACUCAGGGAAACUUGUGCUAAUACCGAAUGUGCCAUUCGGGGGAAAGAUUUAUCGCACUUAGAGCGGCCCGCGUCGGAUUAGCUAGUUGGUGGGGUAACGGCUCACCAAGGCGACGAUCAGUAGCUGGUCUGAGAGGAGGACUAGCCACAAUGGGACAGAGACAAGGUGCAGAAUCGUAGGGGAGGCAGCAGUGGGGAAUAGUGGAGGAUGGGAGCAAGCCUGAUGCAGCCAUACCGUGUGGGUGAAGAAGGCCUUCGGGUUGUAAAGCACUUUUGUUGGGAAAGAAAAGAAGCAGGUUAAUAACCUGCUGUUCUGACGGUACCAAAAGAAUAAGCAACGGCUAAGUUCGUG